Non-coding RNA from Phrynosoma platyrhinos (Desert horned lizard), 71 nucleotides. The record is from the annotation of a GenBank genome assembly. Lineage: Eukaryota; Metazoa; Chordata; Lepidosauria; Squamata; Phrynosomatidae.
GCCAGUAUGGUAUAGUGGUUUAGGUGUUGGACUAAGAAUCUGGAGACCAAGGUUCGAAUCCUGGUUCAGCA